This 553-nucleotide ribosomal RNA is filed under the name uncultured bacterium. Its description in RNAcentral is "partial 16S ribosomal RNA". It matches the Rfam family "Bacterial small subunit ribosomal RNA", at positions 355 to 900 of the family's 1533-position model. The record is from RNAcentral.
UAGGGAAUCUUCCACAAUGGACGCAAGUCUGAUGGAGCAACGCCGCGUGAGUGAAGAAGGUUUUCGGACCGUAAAGCUCUGUUGUUGGUGAAGAAGGAUAGAGGUAGUAACUGGCCUUUAUUUGACGGUAAUCAACCAGAAAGUCACGGCUAACUACGUGCCAGCAGCCGCGGUAAUCGUAGGUGGCAAGCGCUGUCCGGAUUUAUUGGGCGUAAAGCGAGCGCAGGCGGAAGAAUAAGUCUGAUGUGAAAGCCCUCGGCUUAACCGAGGAAUUGCAUCGGAAACUGUUUUCUUGAGUGCAGAAGAGGAGAGUAGAACUCCAUGUGUAGCGGUGGAAUGCGUAGAUAUAUGGAAGAAUACCAGUGGCGAAGGCGGCUCUCUGGUCUGCAACUGACGCUGAGGCUCGAAAGCAUGGGUAGCGAACAGGAUUAGAUACCCUGGUAGUCCAUGCCGUAAACGAUGAGUGCUAAGUGUUGGGAGGCUUCCGCCUCUCAGUGCUGCAGCUAACGCAUUAAGCACUCCGCCUGGGGGAGUACGACCGCAAGGUUGAAAC